GGGGGUAUAGCUCAGUGGUAGAGUGCGUGCUUAGCGCGCACAGUGUCCUGGGUUCAGUCCCCAGUAUCUCCG
This 72-nucleotide transfer RNA is filed under the name Camelus bactrianus (Bactrian camel). It matches the Rfam family "tRNA". From Rfam's summary of the family: Transfer RNA (tRNA) molecules are approximately 80 nucleotides in length. The record is from Rfam by way of RNAcentral. Lineage: Eukaryota; Metazoa; Chordata; Mammalia; Artiodactyla; Camelidae. RNAcentral also lists the same sequence under 2 other names.